This 307-nucleotide long non-coding RNA is filed under the name Cairina moschata (Muscovy duck). Its description in RNAcentral is "domestica (muscovy Duck (domestic type)) lncRNA (ENSCMMG00000002290.1)". The record is from RNAcentral. Lineage: Eukaryota; Metazoa; Chordata; Aves; Anseriformes; Anatidae.
UGCUUGUAUUAGCUGACCCCAAACAUCUGGGAAGGGAAGGCAGCUCGAGGCCUGGGGCUGGCAGCUUGUGUCAGAGCUGGAGGCUGGAAUUCUCUGCCUCUGCAUAUGUCAGCAAGCAUGAAAACCUUGUCAUCUUUGCCUCUGAAGAACAUGUGCCUUUCUGUGAGAAACAAACUCCUUAUUUAUUUAUUUUUUUCCUUUUCUGAUCCUACUUUUUCUCCUUGAAUCGGUGAUUUGUUGUUGUUGUUUGGUGGAGGGGCUGAGGGAGGGAAAUGGGGGCAGUUUGCAAACGAUGUGACUUAACAUG